RNAcentral lists this non-coding RNA (30 nucleotides) under Mus musculus (house mouse). Lineage: Eukaryota; Metazoa; Chordata; Mammalia; Rodentia; Muridae. The record is from RNAcentral.
AGGCUUCAAAGAUUUUCAUCCUGGCCAAGA